UCCGGCUUGACGCCGGCAGUCCCCCGAGAGUCCUCAGCUUGACCUGUUAGCAACAUGGGACAAGGGUUGCGCUCGUUGCGGGACUUAACCCAACAUCUCACGACACGAGCUGACGACAGCCAUGCACCACCUGUACACCGGCCCCGAAGGGCUGCCGUAUUUCUACGGCAUUCCGGUGCAUGUCAAGCCCUGGUAAGGUUCUUCGCGUCGCAUCGAAUUAAACAACAUGCUCCGCUGCUUGUGCGGGUCCCCGUCAAUUCCUUUGAGUUUUAGCCUUGCGGCCGUACUCCCCAGGCGGGGUGCUUAAUGCGUUAGCUCCGGCACGGACGGAGUCGACACCGCCCACACCUAGCAUCCAUCGUUUACGGCGUGGACUAC
This 378-nucleotide unclassified non-coding RNA is filed under the name uncultured Gaiellales bacterium. RNAcentral's name for it is "contains 16S-23S intergenic spacer region". The record is from RNAcentral. Lineage: Bacteria; Bacillati; Actinomycetota; Thermoleophilia; Gaiellales.